This 993-nucleotide unclassified non-coding RNA is filed under the name Hevea brasiliensis (rubber tree). Lineage: Eukaryota; Viridiplantae; Streptophyta; Magnoliopsida; Malpighiales; Euphorbiaceae. The record is from RNAcentral.
GGGAUACAGUUCUUGACUGGGAGGUAUUUUCUGGAUUUUAUACAAUUUAUUAUAAAAUGCAUUAAAACUCAGUUCUUAAGAUACAUGGAAAAAUUAUGUAGAUAGCUUCCAUCAUGAUGGAAAUAUUGCACAAGAAAAGGUUUGUGGUCUGAAUUCUAGAUCAAUUAUUAACUUCUCUAAUUUCUGCUGCUUUUUUUUUUUCUCUAGGAAGUGAAUGAAGUGAAAUUAGCAUCUGCCUUUGUUAUUCAUGUUUUAUCUCCCUCAUUCGGUUUACACCCAUAUUGUGUAAUCCUGUGGUCAAAUUAAGCAAACUGCAAGUCUUUUGAUGGUACAAGAUGGAGACUGGAAGUAGUGUAAAAUGUGAUUAAAUAUGAAUGCAACCACAAGUUUUCACUGAGAAAAUUUGGCAAAGGUUUUGGAUUUGAUGGGGAUAUGUGUGGAUGCAACUUUUAGCCAAUUUAUGUAUUGAACUUUAGAAGGUCAGCUACAACCUGUCGCUUGAAAAUGGAAAAACAGUUCUUUGAUGCUCAUAUAUGCAUAACUGUUGGUGAUAAAUCUAAAGGGUGCCUCAACUCAAGUAUAAAAAACUCCAAAAAUGAUAGUGACCAUGAAAUCAAAAUCAGUGUUUAGUGAUUGGGAUUUGGGACUAAAAAAACCCGACGGACUAACUUGAUUUUGAUAGCUUGUUUUCUUCCUUUUGCUCCAUGAAAUUUAUUGAAAAACACAUGUAGCUCAGAAAUUCUCUUCUCUUUCUCCCUCUCUCUCUUCUCUCUCUCAAAUGGACAUUCAUAACAACAAAACUUUCAAUAGAUGCCCGAGAAAAAAAUGGAGAACUUCUAAAGUUUAUGGUGCCUUUCCUCUAAACCUCAUCUAAACGGUGUAUGGUACAGGUAUCCUUGUGCAAGAAGACCCAUCAAGGAAUAUGAGAUCUCAAAUACAUCCUAAAACAUUUUUAUCUAACUGAUUCUUUCUACAGGCCAUCCAAUCUUCAGA